UGAUCCUGGCUCAGGAUGACGCUAGCGGCAGGCCUAAUACAUGCAAGUCGAACGGUAGACUACUUUCGGGUAGUUGAGAGUGGCGCACGGGUGCGUAACGCGUAUGCAACCUACCUUGUACAGGGGGAUAGCCCGAAGAAAUUCGGAUUAAUACCCCAUAGCAUUACCAGAUGGCAUCUGAAGGUAAUUAAAGAUUUAUCGGUACAAGAUGGGCAUGCGUGACAUUAGUUAGUUGGUAGGGUAACGGCCUACCAAGACUAUGAUGUCUAGGGGUUCUGAGAGGAUGAUCCCCCACACUGGUACUGAGAUACGGACCAGACUCCUACGGGAGGCAGCAGUAGGGAAUAUUGGUCAAUGGGCGAGAGCCUGAACCAGCCAUGCCGCGUGCAGGAAGACGGCCUUCUGGGUUGUAAACUGCUUUUAUACGGGAAGAAAAGACCCUUGCGAGGGAGAUUGCCGGUACCGUAUGAAUAAGCACCGGCUAACUCCGUGCCAGCAGCCGCGGUAAUACGGAGGGUGCAAGCGUUGUCCGGAUUUAUUGGGUUUAAAGGGUGCGUAGGCGGGCCUUUAAGUCAGUGGUGAAAGCCUGCAGCUUAACUGUAGAACUGCCAUUGAUACUGGAGGCCUUGAGUGUACUAGAGGUAGGCGGAAUUUAUGGUGUAGCGGUGAAAUGCAUAGAUACCAUAAAGAACACCGAUAGCGUAGGCAGCUUACUGGAGUACAACUGACGCUGAGGCACGAAAGCAGGGGAGCGAACA
Molecule: ribosomal RNA, 758 nt
Filed under: Flexibacteraceae bacterium JL007
Lineage: Bacteria; Pseudomonadati; Bacteroidota; Cytophagia; Cytophagales; Cytophagaceae
Description: bacterial SSU rRNA
Rfam family: Bacterial small subunit ribosomal RNA
Source: RNAcentral